Molecule: ribosomal RNA, 254 nt
Filed under: uncultured bacterium
Lineage: Bacteria
Description: partial 16S ribosomal RNA
Rfam family: Bacterial small subunit ribosomal RNA
Source: RNAcentral
UACGGGGGGAGCAAGCGUUGUUCGGAUUUACUGGGCGUAAAGGGCGCGUAGGCGGUCGUGACAAGUCACUUGUGAAAUCUCCGAGCUUAACUCGGAAAGGUCAACUGAUACUGUGCGGCUAGAGUGCGGAAGGGGCAACUGGAAUUCUUGGUGUAGCGGUGAAAUGCGUAGAUAUCAAGAGGAACACCUGCGGCGAAGGCGGGUUGCUGGGCCGACACUGACGCUGAGGCGCGAAAGCCAGGGGAGCGAACGGG